Small nuclear RNA from Pipistrellus kuhlii (Kuhl's pipistrelle), 104 nucleotides. Lineage: Eukaryota; Metazoa; Chordata; Mammalia; Chiroptera; Vespertilionidae. The record is from RefSeq and is a predicted model, not a curated record.
GUGCUCACUUUGGCAGCACGUAUACUAAAAUUGGAAUGGUACAGAUGUUAGCAUGGCCCCUCCACAAGGAUGACAUGAAAAAUUGAGAAACGUUCCAUAUUUUA